UACGGAGGGUGCAAGCGUUGUUCGGAAUUUCUGGGCGUAAAGGGCGUGUAGGCGGUGUGGUAAGUCAGAUGUGAAAGCCCUGGGCUUAACCCAGGAAGUGCAUUUGAAACUGCCAUGCUUGAGUAUGGGAGAGGAGAGUGGAAUUCCCAGUGUAGAGGUGAAAUUCGUAGAUAUUGGGAGGAACACCCGUGGCGAAGGCGACUCUCUGGACCAAUACUGACGCUGAGGCGCGAAAGCGUGGUGAGCAAACAGU
RNAcentral lists this ribosomal RNA (253 nucleotides) under uncultured bacterium. Its description in RNAcentral is "partial 16S ribosomal RNA". It matches the Rfam family "Bacterial small subunit ribosomal RNA", at positions 524 to 776 of the family's 1533-position model. The record is from RNAcentral.